UACAGAGGGUGCGAGCGUUAAUCGGAAUUACUGGGCGUAAAGCGUGCGUAGACGGUUUCGUAAGUCGGGUGUGAAAUCCCCGGGCUCAACCUGGGAAUUGCAUUCGAAACUGCGAGGCUAGGGUGCGGAAGAGGGAAGCGGAAUUUCUGGUGUAGCGGUGAAAUGCGCAGAUAUCAGGAAGAACACCCGUGGCGAAGGCGGCUCUCUGGGACGGUACUGACGCUGAGACGCGAAAGCGUGGGGAGCGAACAGG
Molecule: ribosomal RNA, 253 nt
Filed under: uncultured bacterium
Lineage: Bacteria
Description: partial 16S ribosomal RNA
Rfam family: Bacterial small subunit ribosomal RNA
Source: RNAcentral